GAUGAACGCUGGCGGCGUGCCUAAUACAUGCAAGUCGAGCGAACGGACGAGAAGCUUGCUUCUCUGAUGUUAGCGGCGGACGGGUGAGUAACACGUGGAUAACCUACCUAUAAGACUGGGAUAACUUCGGGAAACGGGAGCUAAUACAGGAUAAUAUUUUGAACCGAAUGGUUCAAAAGUGAAAGACGGUCUGGCUGUCACAUAGAGAUGGAUCCGCACUGCAUUAGCUAGUUGGUAAGGGAACGGCUUACAAAGGCAACGAGGCAUAGCCGACCUGAGAGCGUCAUCGGCCACCCUGUAUCUGAGGCUCGUUCCACACUCCUACGGGAGGCCGCAGUAGGGAAUCUUCCGCAAUGCGCGAGUGCCUGACGGUGCACCGCCGCGUGAGUGAUGAUGGUCUUCUGCUCGUAAAACUCUGUUAUUAGGGAAGAACAUAUGUGUAAGUAACUGUGCACAUCUUGACGGUACCUAAUCAGAAAGCCACGGCUAACUACGUG
This 497-nucleotide ribosomal RNA is filed under the name uncultured bacterium. RNAcentral describes it as "partial 16S ribosomal RNA". It matches the Rfam family "Bacterial small subunit ribosomal RNA", at positions 28 to 507 of the family's 1533-position model. The record is from RNAcentral.